UUCAGUUGUUACAAAAUAACAGAAAUAUAGAAAACUUGUUCGUAUUCACAGCAUAUACUACUGACAGUUUCAAAACACAAAAAAUCAGGACCUCGAAUUCGGGGUAACCCCUUUUCAACUAUACUGACUUUUGAACACCCAAAUUUAUAAUUGUUUGAGCUGCUGCCUUUUCCUUUUCUUUCUCUUCAAGUAUCCUUUUUUCUGCUGCAUCAAGGGAAACUAGAAAUUGUUGGUCAUCCCAUACUUCCUUGUCAAAACUUAGUCCCGGUUCAAUCAGUAGUUCAUAUGCUAUUGUACCCCUCAUCAAGUCCAUUGUUUCCACUCCAUAGUCUGACAAAAAUAUUUCACAUUCAGAAAUUGCGUGCUCCAUGAAUUUGAUAACAAACAAUGCGCAGUCCACCCUGAAAUAUUUAAUUAAUGCAUAAAUCAAAUUGCAUUCAUCGUAAUAAGGAAUAACAAUUCAAAAUUCUAAAGCUUACGAAGAGCCUUGAUGCGGCAAAUCAGGUGCUUCAUUUAUAGGACCAUCUUUGUAACAAACAUCUCCAGGUUUGAUUAGUUUCUUGUUCAGCAAAGGAGUGACAUAUUUGGCCUGUUUCAAAUGUUUAAACUUCGGUAAAAUUCUAAAUCAUUAUAAAAUUGUUACAAAACUACAAUAGUUUAAGAAAGUUAACUCACAAUGGCUUUACAAUCGCUCAGAAUACGCUUGUCGAAAGCUUUGUUUCCAGCAAGAGAGUUAUAAAGAGUCGAUCCAAAACCUUUCUCGAGCACAAGAAGACUCCAAUGAUACCCAGCCCUGUCUCUAGCAGUUCUU
This 811-nucleotide long non-coding RNA is filed under the name Aquilegia coerulea. RNAcentral describes it as "long non-coding RNA (ACOE_LNC000597)". Lineage: Eukaryota; Viridiplantae; Streptophyta; Magnoliopsida; Ranunculales; Ranunculaceae. The record is from RNAcentral.